CCCUGAAGCCCACCAUCCCACACACCGCAUGCCAUGGAUCGCGCCGCCGCCCUGCUCCUGACUAUUCCCAUCGCUCCUUUUCCCUUCCGCCGCCGCUGUCCACCGCAUCCAGCCUCUGUCGUUUCCCACCGCCACCGUGAACCAUCUCUCCCCUUGGCCUUCUCUCUUGGACCAGAACGCGGCGGCAGAUGCUUCCGGUGGUGUGUGGCAACGCGGCUGGUCGAGGGACGGGGGUGAGGCGGACUGUGUCCCAUUCAUCGAUCUGUCCCCACCUCCUGUUCGUCCUCUUCAUUGAAUGUCACGUCCGCAGUUAGUGCGACACAUGGCGCUCUCCUCUCCGACGAUGAUGCCUAUAGGCGAGAACAAUGGUGUCAUGUUCUGCCGCUCCACACUUGAGACCGCUGAGGCGCGGAAGUACCUGGGAAGAUCGCACUACCUGUAGCAAAUUCGAUCGUGUUCUGAGUGGCUAACCGGCAAGACCCUGUGAUGGAUGUUUCCUCAGCAACGCCAGUCAGGGGUUCAGGGUCCAGUGGAACUCAUGGCAUCAGUAAUAUGGACCUUCAUGUAUUUGAUAGUUUGCUCGAUCAGGUUUAUGCCUUCAACUAUAGCUAAGGCUACCAGACAACUUCAUUGAGAUUUUUUUCUAUAGGACUUGGAUUAAUAAUCUCUCUCAAUGUGGUCAUGCUUCUUAUAUUUACUUUCAGUUCAAAAUACAUUUUAGAUUUUCUUUAUGCUAUACUACUAAACUGUGUGCGCUAAACCGAACAUGAGUUUUGAAGCUGAAGCAAUCGGAGGCAAUCUUGCGGCAUGUAUACUCUUUCCCUCUCCCAAUGGAAAUCAAAUCCACGCCCCUCUCAAAACCAAGUACGGGCAAGGAUCCUGUAUAAUCAAGGAGCUUAUUGUGUCAAAAUUAUUUUUGUCAUCUGGAUCAGUUGUACUCUCGGAUAGUGUUGUGCUCUCAAGGGUUUCAAUCCAUAAUCUUCUCGCGUACAUACUACCUAUGGAUACCUUGGAUCCAUCAUGACAUAACUAUGCUCAUUAGGUGAGUUUAUAAAUUAAGAAACAUGUUGUCUAAACAAACCAUAACAUGAAGGAGCCUAUAUGGCAGGGUUAAUAUCUUUUCUUGAUUUUCUUUGUUGCUGGUCUGCCACAAUCUCCUGUUCGAGCAAGUACCUUGCCAAGAUGGCAUGUUCUGACUGUUGUAGGUUAGUGAAAUGGCUUCUCAUGAACUUUUGUUCUUAUCCCCUUUCAGUCAGAUAGUUAUAUUGUGAACCCCUUGAUAAUGAAGCUCUCUGUGAAUUAUUAGAGCAUUUACAGUUUUCAUUGUAAAUCUGAAUGUUUUUGCAGGCAAUUGGUUUGUAAAAGCAAUGGCACCUGAUAACUAUUAAAGCAUUGGGUGUCGUUGUUGUUGCACUUUCUAGAAGUAUGGGGGUUGAUUUUCUGUCAAUUGUGCAUUAAAACUGACAACUACUAAAUUUCAGUGCCUUCUUUGACAAUUUUAGUUAAAUAGAAUGGUGUAUGAAAUUAUCGGUGUCACCUAGGAGUUAUCAUGGCUUGGUUGGAUAAUAGCAGUUUUACUGUGUUGAUAUUAACGUCAACACAAACAAACUCUCAUCUACGUUUGCUUCGUCUCCUACCAGGAAAUAAUGUGUGCAUACCUAUCCACUUAAACGCUGCCCGGGGCUACUAUGUACUCGGCCCCAACGAUAGAGUUUAACGGCGAGACACGCCGAUCUCACAACUUUCCAGCCAAUGCUGCUCACUGGCUCCAUCCUCCACUCAACGAGGAAAAGCUGAAUGCUUGAGGAAAAGAAACUAUGAGUUCUCUGCAUUUAAUCGACAUCGUUUUGGUUACUUCGAUUCUCCUCCUACAAUUUUUGCAUCGGCUGCCUGAUGUGAUGCUUUGUAUGAGAACAAGACUAAUAUGAUUUGUCUUUGCUGCAUGUACCAUUCGACUUAGUUGUACUCAGUAAGGAAUAUUUUAGAAAAUAAGUCCCAACAACGUGGAUGUCAGAUUUAUUAACUACUAUGGCUCUUGGUUUUGAAGAAUUUGAUUAUUGGGAUUUUAGUCAUGCCCUGACCACGUACAAUAGAUGUAGACACCAUUGUUGCUUCCUAUUUGCAUGUGAUUUAGAUAUUUGUAAACCUUAUCUGUACCAUUGAAUUAUGUUGGUAUGUAGGUCGCUCGAUAUGUUCAUCGAUGCUGUGGACAGCAAUUUUUAUUAUCGUUGCCCAUAUCUAUCUAAUUAGGUUUGUACGGCAAUUUGUUUUGUUUAUCAUAUUUAUCUAGAAAAUCAGAUUUAUGAAGCUUAUAAUUUAUUAGUUUUUCUGUAAUUUCCCUUUUUUUGCUGAUACUCCACUACUCAGGAUUAUAAGAGCAUCACCUUUGUGAGCAUUUUUCUUUCAGUUGUAGCAAGGUGUUAGUACGGUUCUACACAGAAAGCUGCACAGCAUGCCUAAUUUUGUACUUACCUUGCAGUUAUGUAGAUCUACUACAACUAUAUGAUGUCCUCAUAUCAGAACUUUGCAAGCAUGACAAAAUAUCAGCAUAUGAUUUUCGCCUCUUUUUUAUGUUCUGAAUUUCUGUAAUUUGAGACUUUGAGUGGGGAUUAAGAGCACGAUAAUUGCAAGGAUUUUCCUCUUCGGUUUUGUAAGUUAUUGGUGUUGUUCCAGUCCAUUACCGCAGAGCACGCCUUUGGUUAGAUCGUACAUUCAUAGUAGUUUGAUGUACUACGUUUCGGUUGGCAUAUAGGAUUCUUAUGGGGACAUGUGAUUCACUUUAUUUCGUUCUGUUUUCAGGCCGACGAAAUUGCUGGACUGGAAAAAAAACAGUGCGUAUAUAUGGUAAUUCUCAUUGCGAAAAAAAUCUGUGCGUAUAUAUGGUAAUUCUCAUUGCAACGUACAUCUUCCUCUAGAAAAGGCAUUGCUGUAAUAAUAAUUUCUAUAUAUUUUCUAAUAACUUCUGGUUGGACACUUGAGCUCGGUUAGUAAGUCUUUACUUUGAAAUAUAUUCACUAAUUGCGAAAUUAAUGUUUGUAUGCAGUUACAUGGUUUAAUAUUUUUUAGUACAAAAACAUGGUUGUCUAUAUGCAAGUCUAAGCAAUCUUUUGAAAAUACCUUUCUAUUUAAAGUGUCAGGAGAUUUCUUACUACAGAAACUAAUUUUCUAUAAAAUCCAUCGCUACUCUUUUGAAUAUUUUAUUUCCCCCAAUCAAAUGUAUGAUUUUCAGUAUUUUUAUCAUCUACGCCAACUUUAUAUGUAUUAAGUAAAGUCAUGUGCAUUUGUUAGGUCCUUGCAUGGAUUUUCUUGAUUAUUGGUAGUGUGGAAUAUUUUACUACCCCGAACUACAAAAAGAGGGGCGCAAAAUAUUUGACAGCUAACUCUGACCAUCAUUAGAGUAAACUAUGUUAUGGCAUGCGAGUUGGCAGGAUCAACAACUUAUCAGAACUUUCCUCCAGUUGCACUCAUAUGCUAAAGAUCAUAACAUCUCUGUUCUUAUGACUAAAUUACAUGAUGACACUAAUAUUUAUGAAUUAUUUCACAUCCCUGUGUUACCCAUUGCUGUACAACAGCUACAGGAGUUGAUACAGAGCUUCAACAUUGAGAAUGAUGCUAUUCAAUAAGACAGCUGGCCAUUUCACUUGGGUAAUGGAAAAUAAUGUACCAGAAACAAACCCUUAUUGGUGAUCCUCAGUCUGCUCCAGCACCAUUCAAAUGGAUACGGAAAUAUGCAUGCUUAAAAAAAGUUGACUGGCUUAUACAGGAGAGACUCAACACAAGAGAUCCGAUGAAGAGAGAUAAUUUCUUUGCUGAGUAUGAAAAAUGUUUUCUAUGUGAGGAAGGCACAGAUGAAACUAUGAUGUAUUUUUUAUCAUGUGCACCCAGUUAGAUUUUUGGUGGAAUCUAAGUAUUGAAUGGGAUGCUGAUAUGCUCAAUGAAGCAAAGAACAGGAAGAGCAUCAUAUGUUUCAAAAAGAUAAUAACCGGAUGUUGGUCUAUAUGGAAGCAUAGAAACAUCUUUGAUAACAAAGAUACUAAUAUAAA
Triticum aestivum (bread wheat) is the source of this 4043-nucleotide long non-coding RNA. RefSeq lists it as uncharacterized. The transcript is spliced from 3 exons. Lineage: Eukaryota; Viridiplantae; Streptophyta; Magnoliopsida; Poales; Poaceae. The record is from RefSeq and is a predicted model, not a curated record.